GAGACUCUGUGCGCGUGCAUAUCAAUAAGCGGAGGAAAAGAAACUAACAAGGAUUCCCUUAGUAACGGCGAGUGAAGCGGGAAGAGCUCAAAUUUGAAAUCUUCAAGGUUCUACCUUGACGAAUUGUAGUUUAAAGAAGUGUUUUCUGUUGGAGUUUUGGUAAAAGUUCUUUGGAAUAGGACAUCAUAGAGGGUGAGAAUCCCGUAUUUGACCAUUAUUUCCAACUUUGUGAUACACUUUCAAAGAGUCGGAUUGUUUGGGAAUGCAGUCCAAAAUGGGUGGUAAAUCUCAUCUAAAGCUAAAUACUGGCGAGAGACCGAUAGCGAACAAGUACCGUGAGGGAAAGAUGAAAAGAACUUUGAAAAGAGAGUUAAACAGUACGUGAAAUUGUCAAAAGGGAAGCGUUUGACACCAGUGUUGUUUUCUCGAAAAUCAAUUAAAAAUGGUGGGAUUUUGUGUUGUACUGACUUUAUCAGCUUUCUGCACUUUUUUCCUAUCUUUUUUAAUGCACUUUUCGUUUAACAAGUCAACAUCAAUUUCUUUUGUUGUAAAAGGGUCAUUGGAAGGUGGCUUUCUUUUCGGAGAAAGUGUUUAUAGCCUUUGGCUUCUGCAAUCGGAGAGAUUGAGGUCUGCAGCGUAGAUCCUUCGGGGUUAGAUACAUUUGUGCUAAGUUAUAGCCUUUCAUAGACAACUUGUUGACUAUGAUCAGUCAUGUAGCUUACUCGCUUAUGCUAUUUUACCUACGCUUAGGAUGUUGACAGCAGUAUAGACUGU
RNAcentral lists this ribosomal RNA (774 nucleotides) under uncultured Neocallimastigales. RNAcentral describes it as "partial large subunit ribosomal RNA". It matches the Rfam family "Eukaryotic large subunit ribosomal RNA", at positions 23 to 633 of the family's 3401-position model. The record is from RNAcentral. Lineage: Eukaryota; Fungi; Neocallimastigomycota; Neocallimastigomycetes; Neocallimastigales.